UGGGGAAUAUUGCACAAUGGGCGCAAGCCUGAUGCAGCCAUGCCGCGUGUAUGAAGAAGGCCUUCGGGUUGUAAAGUACUUUCAGCGGGGAGGAAGGGAGUAAAGUUAAUACCUUUGCUCAUUGACGUUACCCGCAGAAGAAGCACCGGCUAACUCCGUGCCAGCAGCCGCGGUAAUACGGAGGGUGCAAGCGUUAAUCGGAAUUACUGGGCGUAAAGCGCACGCAGGCGGUUUGUUAAGUCAGAUGUGAAAUCCCCGGGCUCAACCUGGGAACUGCAUCUGAUAUUGGCAAGCUUGAGUCUCGUAGAGGGGGGUAGAAUUCCAGGUGUAGCGGUGAAAUGCGUAGAGAUCUGGAGGAAUACCGGUGGCGAAGGCGGCCCCCUGGACGAAGACUGACGCUCAGGUGCGAAAGCGUGGGGAGCAAACAGG
RNAcentral lists this ribosomal RNA (429 nucleotides) under Chloroflexota bacterium. RNAcentral describes it as "Chloroflexi bacterium partial 16S ribosomal RNA". It matches the Rfam family "Bacterial small subunit ribosomal RNA", at positions 355 to 776 of the family's 1533-position model. RNAcentral also lists the same sequence under 1 other name. Lineage: Bacteria; Bacillati; Chloroflexota. The record is from RNAcentral.